GAUGAACGCUGGCGGCGUGCCUAAUACAUGCAAGUCGAGCGAACAGACGAGGAGCUUGCUCCUCUGACGUUAGCGGCGGGCGGGUGAGUAACACGUGGAUAACCUACCUAUAAGACUGGGAUAACUUCGGGAAACCGGAGCUAAUACCGGAUAAUAUAUUGAACCGCAUGGUUCAAUAGUGAAAGACGGUUUUGCUGUCACUUAUAGAUGGAUCCGCGCCGCAUUAGCUAGUUGGUAAGGUAACAGCUUACCAAGGCAACGAUGCGUAGCCGACCUGAGAGGGUGAUCGGCCACACUGGAACUGAGACACGGUCCAGACUCCUACGGGAGGCAGCAGUAGGGAAUCUUCCGCAAUGGGCGAAAGCCUGACGGAGCAACGCCGCGUGAGUGAUGAAGGUCUUCGGAUCGUAAAACUCUGUUAUUAGGGAAGAACAAAUGUGUAAGUAACUAUGCACGUCUUGACGGUACCUAAUCAGAAAGCCACGGCUAACUACGUG
This 497-nucleotide ribosomal RNA is filed under the name uncultured bacterium. Its description in RNAcentral is "partial 16S ribosomal RNA". It matches the Rfam family "Bacterial small subunit ribosomal RNA", at positions 28 to 507 of the family's 1533-position model. The record is from RNAcentral.